CCUACGGGGGGCAGCAGUCGAGAAUCAUUCACAAUGGGGGAAACCCUGAUGGUGCGACGCCGCGUGGGGGAAUGAAGGUCUUCGGAUUGUAAACCCCUGUCAUGUGGGAGCAAAUUAAAAAGAUAGUACCACAAGAGGAAGAGACGGCUAACUCUGUGCCAGCAGCCGCGGUACUACAGAGGUGUCAAGCGUUGUUCGGAAUCACGGGGCGUAAAGCGUGCGUAGGCUGUUUGGUAAGUCGUGUGUGAAAGGCGCGGGCUCAACCCGCGGACGGCACAUGAUACUGCGAGACUAGAGUAAUGGAGGGGGAACCGGAAUUCUCGGUGUAGCAGUGAAAUGCGUAGAUAUCGAGAGGAACACUCGUGGCGAAGGCGGGUUCCUGGACAUUAACUGACGCUGAGGCACGAAGGCCAGGGGAGCGAAAGGGAUUAGAUACCCGAGUAGUC
RNAcentral lists this ribosomal RNA (446 nucleotides) under uncultured bacterium. RNAcentral describes it as "partial 16S ribosomal RNA". It matches the Rfam family "Bacterial small subunit ribosomal RNA", at positions 338 to 795 of the family's 1533-position model. The record is from RNAcentral.